Non-coding RNA from Ciona intestinalis (vase tunicate), 974 nucleotides. Lineage: Eukaryota; Metazoa; Chordata; Ascidiacea; Phlebobranchia; Cionidae. The record is from RefSeq and is a predicted model, not a curated record.
AGCGUGGCCGAGUGGUCUAAGGUGCAGGUUUAAGGCACCAGUCAUUUCGAUGGCGUGGGUUCGUUUUUGAUUUUAUUUUAUUUUAAUAAAAUCAAAGCAUGAAUUGGUAAUAAAUAAUAUAUAUUCUGGGACAGGACUUGUGGGUAGCGUGGCCGAGUUGUCUAAGGCGCUCGUUUAAGGCACCAGUGAUUUUGAUGGCGUGGGUUCGAAUCUCACCGCUGCCAAAUAUGUUAUUACUUUAAUAAAAACAAAGUAUGAAUUGGUAAUAAUUAAUAUAUACUCUGGACAAGACUUGUGGGUAGCGUGGCCGAGUGGUCUAAGGCGCUGGUUUAAGGCACCAGUCAUUUCGAUGGCGUGGGUUUGAAUCCCACCGCUGCCAAGUAUUUUUUUUAUUUUCAUAAAAACAAAGUAUGAAUUGGUAAUAAAUAAUAUACACUCAGCAUUAAUUUCUGUAGGUAGCGUGGCCGAGUGGUCUAAGGCGCUGGUUAAUUUUUGGUGUCUAAGUAUCGCGUGUUGUAAACGAAAUGGCAGAACAUUGCAUCAUUAUUCUUGCAGAAAACAACUUUCAUUUCAACCCAUCGCCUCAUAAUAUUGUACUUGUCGCGCUUUCAUUAAAACGUAAACUUUCCAAUUUUGGAUAAUAAGGCACAUUAACAUUUGAUUUGAACUUUUAAUAUCUUACUCGCCCGUUGCCCAUUUUACGAAAUCAUAAAUGUUUUCGCAGUAGUGUGUUGAAGCAUAUAUUGCAAUAUACGCAAGAGCGUGCGUUUUUUGACUUUAACUCAAUGCCUUUGCUUUCCAGCACAUUAACAUUUAAUUAAUUACACGAAAAAUCCCUUAGUGGUGUUUAUAAUUGAGCGCGGUAGUGGCCACAAACCCGCUUUGUUGUUUACUUAUGAUUUGUUUUUGAUCGAUCUCAAUCGACCAUUUUAGUAAUAGGAUCAAUUAAUACUACACUAAUUAGUUCAUACCAU